CGUUGAUAGGUUGGAUGUGGAAGCAUAGUGAUAUGUGAAGCUGACCAAUACUAAUUGCUCGUGAGGCUUGACUAUACAACACCCAAGCAGUUG
RNAcentral lists this ribosomal RNA (93 nucleotides) under Acinetobacter baumannii. RNAcentral's name for it is "partial 23S ribosomal RNA". The stretch from base 1 to 75 matches the Rfam family "Bacterial large subunit ribosomal RNA", at positions 2851 to 2925 of the family's 2925-position model. Lineage: Bacteria; Pseudomonadati; Pseudomonadota; Gammaproteobacteria; Moraxellales; Moraxellaceae. The record is from RNAcentral.